This 371-nucleotide ribosomal RNA is filed under the name uncultured organism. RNAcentral's name for it is "bacterial SSU rRNA". It matches the Rfam family "Bacterial small subunit ribosomal RNA", at positions 526 to 896 of the family's 1533-position model. The record is from RNAcentral.
CGUAGGGUCCAAGCGUUAUCCGGAAUCACUGGGCGUAAAGCGUGCGUAGGCGGGAGUUUAAGUGAGAUGUUAAAUCGUGUGGCUCAACCAUAUCGAUGCAUCUCAUACUGGGCACCUAGAGGAAGGCAGAGGCAAGUGGAAUUUGUAGUGUAGCAGUGAAAUGCGUAGAUAUUACAAGGAACACCAAUGGCGAAGGCAGCUUGCUGGGCCUUUUCUGACGCUGAGGUACGAAAGCGUGGGGAGCGAACAGGAUUAGAUACCCUGGUAGUCCACGCCGUAAACGAUGCAUACUAGUCUUAUGGGGUAUCGACCCCUGUGAGACGAAGCUAACGCGAUAAGUAUGCCGCCUGGGAAGUACGGCCGCAAGGCUA